Molecule: ribosomal RNA, 1451 nt
Filed under: uncultured organism
Description: SSU rRNA
Rfam family: Bacterial small subunit ribosomal RNA
Source: RNAcentral
GAACGCUAGCUACAGGCUUAACACAUGCAAGUCGAGGGGCAUCAGGAAGAAAGCUUGCUUUCUUUGCCGGCGACCGGCGCACGGGUGAGUAACACGUAUCCAACCUGCCCUUUACUCGGGGAUAGCCUUUCGAAAGAAAGAUUAAUACCCGAUAGUAUAAUGAUUCCGCAUGGUUUCAUUAUUAAAGGAUUCCGGUAAAGGAUGGGGAUGCGUUCCAUUAGGUUGUUGGUGAGGUAACGGCUCACCAAGCCUUCGAUGGAUAGGGGUUCUGAGAGGAAGGUCCCCCACAUUGGAACUGAGACACGGUCCAAACUCCUACGGGAGGCAGCAGUGAGGAAUAUUGGUCAAUGGGCGCUAGCCUGAACCAGCCAAGUAGCGUGAAGGAUGAAGGCUCUAUGGGUCGUAAACUUCUUUUAUAUAAGAAUAAAGUGCAGUAUGUAUACUGUUUUGUAUGUAUUAUAUGAAUAAGGAUCGGCUAACUCCGUGCCAGCAGCCGCGGUAAUACGGAGGAUCCGAGCGUUAUCCGGAUUUAUUGGGUUUAAAGGGAGCGUAGGUGGACUGGUAAGUCAGUUGUGAAAGUUUGCGGCUCAACCGUAAAAUUGCAGUUGAUACUGUCAGUCUUGAGUACAGUAGAGGUGGGCGGAAUUCGUGGUGUAGCGGUGAAAUGCUUAGAUAUCACGAAGAACUCCGAUUGCGAAGGCAGCUCACUGGACUGCAACUGACACUGAUGCUCGAAAGUGUGGGUAUCAAACAGGAUUAGAUACCCUGGUAGUCCACACAGUAAACGAUGAAUACUCGCUGUUUGCGAUAUACAGUAAGCGGCCAAGCGAAAGCAUUAAGUAUUCCACCUGGGGAGUACGCCGGCAACGGUGAAACUCAAAGGAAUUGACGGGGGCCCGCACAAGCGGAGGAACAUGUGGUUUAAUUCGAUGAUACGCGAGGAACCUUACCCGGGCUUAAAUUGCAGUGGAAUGAUGUGGAAACAUGUCAGUGAGCAAUCACCGCUGUGAAGGUGCUGCAUGGUUGUCGUCAGCUCGUGCCGUGAGGUGUCGGCUUAAGUGCCAUAACGAGCGCAACCCUUAUCUUCAGUUACUAACAGGUCAUGCUGAGGACUCUGGAGAGACUGCCGUCGUAAGAUGUGAGGAAGGUGGGGAUGACGUCAAAUCAGCACGGCCCUUACGUCCGGGGCUACACACGUGUUACAAUGGGGGGUACAGAAGGCAGCUAGCGGGUGACCGUAUGCUAAUCCCAAAAUCCUCUCUCAGUUCGGAUCGAAGUCUGCAACCCGACUUCGUGAAGCUGGAUUCGCUAGUAAUCGCGCAUCAGCCACGGCGCGGUGAAUACGUUCCCGGGCCUUGUACACACCGCCCGUCAAGCCAUGGGAGCCGGGGGUACCUGAAGUACGUAACCGCAAGGAUCGUCCUAGGGUAAAACUGGUGACUGGGGCUAAG